AUGGGCAUCCAGGUCGCGCCCCCCUCCCCAUCCUCUCUGGGCGGCGGCUGCGUGAGGCUGUCGAGGGCCCAGUCGUCGUCGUCGCUGGCGACCUGGAGCGCCGGCAUCGCCCGCCGGCGCUCCGGGCACGCGAUGGUGACGCGCGCCCUCAGCGCCAGCAUCGACAGCGUCGGCAGCCACGGCGGGGAUGACGAGGAGUUCCUCAGGAGGAUCCAGGAGCUCGCCGUGGGGCUGCACCCGGGCGCCGGCGGCUGCGGCUGGCCGGCGAGCGUGGAGCGGAGCGCCAGCAGCGUCGGCCUGCCGCUGUCGCUCAGGAUGCUCAAGCGCAAGAAGCGGCAGCAGGGGCAGCGCGGCCGGUGGGACGAGCGGCUGCUCGACCGCGCCGGCGAGUCCGGCUCCGGCCGCGGCGCUGUGGGACGGGCGUUCUCGUCCAUGGUGCUCAUCAUCCGGGAGCUCCAGAGCUUCGCGCUGCAGAUGCGGCAGGCGCUCUUCUACGAGGACAUGCAGAGCGUGCUCGCGCGCGUCCACGCCGAGAUGGACGCCUCCUUCGUCUGGCUCUUCCAGCACAUCUUCGCCGGCACCCCCGCCCUCAUGGUCUCCGUCAUGAUCCUCCUCGCCAACUUCACCGUCUACUCCAUGGGUGACAAUAUCGCGAUGGCCGCCAACCUCCCGCCUCCCCAGCCCACCGUUGCGGCCGUCGCAAUGCUCGACGCCCAGCACGCGGAGCAGUCCCGUCCCGAUCAGCGGUUCGACAGCGUGUCGCUCAACAUGUUCUCCAUUGGCCGCACGGCCUCGGUGGACGGGAGCAGCGGCGGCGGUGGCAAGGCUCCGCCGGUCGCCGGGGCCACCGGCGACGAUCGCUCGGACGAAUCCUCGUACCGGCAAAGCGGCGCGGUGCUUCCUCAGGACGAGUCACAGGCGACGCCGGUGGGGGCGGCCGCGGAGGACACGGAGGACGAGCUGGUCAUCUGGAAAAGGAUAGCCGACGAGGCGACGAGAAUGCAGGCGAGCGUGCGCGUGGAGGCUCUGAUGGACCCGGACAUCCUGGGGCAGCUCGUCGCGCCGGUGGAGGCGAAGCUGGACACGGAGGACGUGGCCGAUUACGCGAGGACGGAGCAGAGAUACGCGAUGGCCGUGUCCGAGGAGCCCAGCAACGCGCUGCUGCUCGCCAACUUCGCGCAGUUCCUGUACCUGGUGCAGCGCGAUCACGACCGGGCGGAGCACUACUUCAAGCGGGCGGUGCGCGCGGAGCAGCCGGCGGACGCGGAGACGCUGGGGUGGUACGCGACGUUCCUGUGGAAGGCGCGCAACGACCUGGCGGCCGCGGAGGAGACGUUCCAGGAGGCCAUCGCCGCCGAGCCCAGCAACGGGCACCACGCGGCGGCCUACGCGCACUUCCUGUGGAACACGGGCGGCGAGGACACAUGCUACCCCCUCGACUGA
RNAcentral lists this ribosomal RNA (1443 nucleotides) under Triticum aestivum (bread wheat). RNAcentral's name for it is "partial small subunit ribosomal RNA". The record is from RNAcentral. Lineage: Eukaryota; Viridiplantae; Streptophyta; Magnoliopsida; Poales; Poaceae.